UUCUUGCCACAGCUUGUCUUGUUUAUGCCUUUUUGGAUUCCUCGCUAGAGUGAUUCUUUGUAAUUUCUUAGUUUAGCGCAGUUCUUAGUUUCAUAGCUUUUUGAGUCAGCUGUUUUGUUUUUCCUCCUUCUGGAGUGAUUUUUUGUUCUUUUUUGUUUUUCCCCCUUUAGUCCUGAUCCAGUUUUUAUUUUAUUAUUUUUCCCCUGAGAGUUUAGUUAGUAUUCCCCUUUUCUUAUAUUAGGAUUUAUCUAUUUAGUUUAUUAGUGUAGUUAGGUUUCAGUGUUAUUCCUCGCCUUUUUCUUUUUGGAGCGACUUUUCUUUGUUUAGUUUUUAGUCUUAGUCAGGAGUUUCAUAGCCCUUUGCUUUCACUCGAGAGGAUUAUCUCAGCUGCUUUUUUGAAUAAAGAAACAUUCAUUUCACUUGCUCUGCAUCUGAGUGCUGACUUGAGCUCAGCCUGACAAAUGCAUUCCUUUUCCUUGUCAUUAUCUGGUGCCUACAUUACCCACAAUGCAGUUUGACGGCCCACAGAGAUUCAGCUGACAGUCCAUGGCAACAAAACAAAGUGCUUUGUUGUGAGGAUGCAAAAGAGAACCACUGGCCUAAAGCACAAGUCAGCCACUCCUCCCUUCACGUCUCCAGUUAGUUCAGAAUGCUGCCGCCUGUCUGCUAACUGGAGGACGUAAGAGGGAGCACAUUACACCGAUCCUGGCCUCCCUCCAUUGGCUGCUGGUGCACUUUAGGGUUCAUUUUAAGUUUAUUUUAUUUGUUUUUAAGUCUUUAAAUUGCAUCGCCCCGCCCUA
Long non-coding RNA from Centropristis striata (black sea bass), 800 nucleotides. RefSeq lists it as uncharacterized. Lineage: Eukaryota; Metazoa; Chordata; Actinopteri; Perciformes; Serranidae. The record is from RefSeq and is a predicted model, not a curated record. The transcript is spliced from 3 exons.